RNAcentral lists this ribosomal RNA (257 nucleotides) under uncultured archaeon. RNAcentral describes it as "partial 16S ribosomal RNA". It matches the Rfam family "Archaeal small subunit ribosomal RNA", at positions 748 to 1005 of the family's 1478-position model. The record is from RNAcentral.
CAGCCGUAAACUAUGCGCGUUAGGUGUACUGGUGACCACGAGUCACCGGGGUGCCGAAGGGAAACCGUGAAACGUGCCGCCUGGGAAGUACGGUCGCAAGGCUGAAACUUAAGGAAUUGGCGGGGGAGCACCACAACGGGUGGAGCCUGCGGUUUAAUUGGACUCAACGCCGGAAAUCUCACCGGAUAGGACAGACAUAUGAUAGUCGGGCUGAAGACUCUACUUGAUGAUCUGAGAGGAGGUGCAUGGCGUCAGUG